GAUGAACGCUGGCUACAGGCUUAACACAUGCAAGUCGAGGGGAAACGACGGGGAAGCUUGCUUCCCCGGGCGUCGACCGGCGCACGGGUGAGUAACGCGUAUCCAACCUGCCUCUGACUGAGGGAUAACCCGUCGAAAGUCGGCCUAAUACCUCAUGGCAUCGUCUGCGGGCAUCCAACGACGAUUAAAGAUUUCAUCGGUCAGAGAUGGGGAUGCGUCUGAUUAGCUUGUUGGCGGGGUAACGGCCCACCAAGGCGACGAUCAGUAGGGGUUCUGAGAGGAAGGUCCCCCACAUUGGAACUGAGACACGGUCCAAACUCCUACGGGAGGCGGCAGUGAGGAAUAUUGGUCAAUGGGCGAGAGCCUGAACCAGCCAAGUAGCGUGCAGGAUGACGGCCCUAUGGGUUGUAAACUGCUUUUAUGCGGGGAUAAAGUGAGGGACGUGUCCUUCAUUGCAGGUACCGCAUGAAUAAGGACCGGCUAAUUCCGUG
RNAcentral lists this ribosomal RNA (491 nucleotides) under uncultured bacterium. Its description in RNAcentral is "partial 16S ribosomal RNA". It matches the Rfam family "Bacterial small subunit ribosomal RNA", at positions 28 to 507 of the family's 1533-position model. The record is from RNAcentral.